UUUUCACUUCUUUGUGCCUCUUUCACCAUUUAUUUGUGUGCAUACUCAGCAUAUUUGUUUGUGUAACAGGAUGUUAAAAAUAGAAUUUGUUGCCUGUAGUUUUUGCUAAAGCUCUACUAGACUGGAACAGAACAAUAGGUGGUAAAUACUCCAUUCCUCAGUGAGAUGCUACCUACCUAUGCAGAGCUGGAAAAGAUUUUGCAACCUGAAAACCCAAUCCUUUCUGAGAUAUAAAAGAACAGAAGAGUCUGGAAGUGAUUUCUUCGGAGAAAUUCAUUUUCUUAUUCCAGAGAAGAAACUUCAAGCUCAGAAUAUUGGCUACUACCUGUGAUAAACAUUUAAAUUAUUGGAACGAGAGAGUUUUUAUAACUAAAUUUGAAAGAAGCAAUUUUUUUUAUCAAAGACCAACCCGAAGAUUCAUGACCACUACCUGUGAUUUCAUCCAUGUUGCAAGGAAAAUCCUGCCCCACUUCCCCAAUAGGAAGAGUGGUGGGGGAAUAAUAAAGUUGUUUUAUGAUGCAUCCUGUGGACUUCUACUCGACAGAAUGGUAACAUUCAACUGUAAUCAGGAUGAGCAAGCCACUUUAUUAAACUAAAAUUUUAAACUUUAAUAAAUAUAAUACAAACUGAAAAAUAAAAAUAAUUUUUCAACUCUACACAAGUAUGUUAACUGCAUAAACAGUGAGAUGUUACACAGGGCUGAGGCCUAUACUUCUUCAGUUUGUACAUUAAACGUCUCCAUGGAGGGUCAAUUGCAUCCUACCUAUUCUGACAGUUAUCAGGUAGCGAGAGAUUUGAGGAAGAGGCGCUUUUCUAAUCUGGGGUAGGAAAAGGAAUGAUACCAUGUAUCAUGAGAAGUAUUUGCACAUAGUGUGUCAAUUAAGCAAGUGCUCAGACUAUUAACAACAUUACUAUGUGAUGAAUGUUUAUACAGUGGAUUCAAAAAUAAGCUUCUUUCCAGAAAGCAGCUUAGUUUUCAUUAAUUAUUACCAGCAUCUUGGUAAUUAUUUAUUUAAUGGUUUAAAAGUUAAAGUUUCAAUCUAUAUUUGUUUUUUUAACAUCAGCCAAGGAAAUACAUGUCUGUUAUACUGCAUCUUUGGAAGUAUGCAAUAAGUGUAACUAUUGAAUCUAUAUUGAAGAGCCACAAGACACUGAAUUUAAUUGGACGAGACUAUUUUAUUUAGGAAGACAAUCAUCUCCUGUGAUCAGCUUAAGGUUUUUGUUUUGUUUUAUCUGGAACAAGCUAAGUUCAUAUUUAGAAAAUAAAGUUAGUUUUUUGGGUGCAUGAGUUUUAGAGUAAAUUAGUAAUUUAGUAAACUUUGACAUUUCCACUUUGUCUCCAAACACAUUUAAAUUCUAUCUGUCUGACUGAAGUUCUAAGGCAUUCUGUGGUUACUUAGAAAUGAUUCCUUAUAUUAAUGUUUACAAAUGCUAAAUUGUAUUUGUUAAAUACAUGUCUUAUUGCCUAAGAGUUUUCCUUUCUUAUAAGUUUAAUAUAAAUGUCUAGGAAAUAAGACUCCCAUUUAAUAGCUUAUAAAGAAUGCUGAUGUAUCAGCAGUGGCCUUGACAUUAUUGGAUACAAGUAAGAUCUACACUGAUGAUUAAAUCAAAUUGGCUAAGAUUAUUCGUUCUAAUAAAAGCACUGACUCCAUGAA
Molecule: long non-coding RNA, 1655 nt
Filed under: Homo sapiens (human)
Lineage: Eukaryota; Metazoa; Chordata; Mammalia; Primates; Hominidae
Description: non-protein coding lnc-COL28A1-1:11
Source: RNAcentral